GAUGAACGCUAGCGGCAGGCUUAACACAUGCAAGUCGAACGGCAGCACGGGAGCAAUCCUGGUGGCGAGUGGCGAACGGGUGAGUAAUAUAUCGGAACGUGCCCAGUCGUGGGGAUAACGUAGCGAAAGCUACGCUAAUACCGCAUACGAUCUAUGGAUGAAAGCGGGGGAUCGCAAGACCUCGCGCGAUUGGAGCGGCCGAUAUCAGAUUAGGUAGUUGGUGAGGUAAAGGCUCACCAAGCCGACGAUCUGUAGCUGGUCUGAGAGGACGACCAGCCACACUGGGACUGAGACACGGCCCAGACUCCUACGGGAGGCAGCAGUGGGGAAUUUGGACAAUGGGCGCAAGCCUGAUCCAGCAAUGCCGCGUGCAGGAUGAAGGCCUCGGUUGUAACGUAGCUUUGUUACGGUAACG
Molecule: ribosomal RNA, 415 nt
Filed under: uncultured bacterium
Lineage: Bacteria
Description: bacterial SSU rRNA
Rfam family: Bacterial small subunit ribosomal RNA
Source: RNAcentral